UCUGGUGUCAGCCGCCGCGGUAAUACCAGCUCUCCGAGUGGUAGGGACGAUUAUUGGGCUUAAAGCGUCCGUAGCCGGCUUAGCAAGUCUCCUGUUAAAUUCAGCGACCUAAUCGUUGAGCCGCGGGAGAUACUACUAGGCUAGGAGGCGAGAGAGGCCGACGGUAUUCUCGGGGUAGGGGUGAAAUCCUAUAAUCCCGGGAGGACCACCAGUGGCGAAGGCUGUCGGCUAGAACGCGCUCGACGGUGAGGGACGAAAGCUGGGGGAGCGAACCGGAUUAGAUACCCGGGUAGUCCCAGCUGUAAACGAUGCGGGCUAGGUGUUGGGGUGGCUACGAGCCACUUCAGUGCCGCAGGGAAGCCAUUAA
This 367-nucleotide ribosomal RNA is filed under the name uncultured archaeon. Its description in RNAcentral is "bacterial SSU rRNA". It matches the Rfam family "Archaeal small subunit ribosomal RNA", at positions 451 to 818 of the family's 1478-position model. The record is from RNAcentral.